GCCGAAGUGGCGGAACUGGCAGACGCGCGCGACUCAAAAUCGCGUUCCUUCGGGAGUGUGGGUUCGACUCCCACCUUCGGCA
This 82-nucleotide transfer RNA is filed under the name Chloroflexi bacterium RBG_19FT_COMBO_62_14. Its description in RNAcentral is "tRNA-Leu". It matches the Rfam family "tRNA". From Rfam's summary of the family: Transfer RNA (tRNA) molecules are approximately 80 nucleotides in length. Their secondary structure includes four short double-helical elements and three loops (D, anti-codon, and T loops). Lineage: Bacteria; Bacillati; Chloroflexota. RNAcentral also lists the same sequence under 4 other names. The record is from RNAcentral.